This 355-nucleotide unclassified non-coding RNA is filed under the name soil metagenome. RNAcentral's name for it is "partial contains 5.8S ribosomal RNA, internal transcribed spacer 2, and large subunit ribosomal RNA". The stretch from base 1 to 120 matches the Rfam family "5.8S ribosomal RNA", at positions 35 to 154 of the family's 154-position model. The record is from RNAcentral.
GAUGAAGAACGCAUCGAAAUGCGAUAAGUAAUGUGAAUUGCAGAAUUCAGUGAAUCAUCGAAUCUUUGAACGCACAUUGCGCCCGCCAGUAUUCUGGCGGGCAUGCCUGUCCGAGCGUCAUUUCAACCCUCGAACCCCUCCGGGGGGUCGGCGUUGGGGAUCGGCCCUGCCUCUUGGCGGUGGCCGUCUCCGAAAUACAGUGGCGGUCUCGCCGCAGCCUCUCCUGCGCAGUAGUUUGCACACUCGCAUCGGGAGCGCGGCGCGUCCACAGCCGUUAAACACCCAACUUCUGAAAUGUUGACCUCGGAUCAGGUAGGAAUACCCGCUGAACUUAAGCAUAUCAAUAAGCGGAGGA